UUGACCUCGGAUCAGGUAGGAAUACCCGCUGAACUUANGCA
This 41-nucleotide ribosomal RNA is filed under the name Trichoderma helicum. RNAcentral describes it as "partial 28S ribosomal RNA". Lineage: Eukaryota; Fungi; Ascomycota; Sordariomycetes; Hypocreales; Hypocreaceae. The record is from RNAcentral.